CUCUCCUCUCUCCCUUCCUAGAGAUCUCUCCCACCUCUCUCUUCCUGUCGAUAUCUUCAUGAACAUCAGGUGGUGCUAGUAUUUGGUGAGACUGGUUGCAGGAAAACAACUCAGGAAUUAUGUCGUAUGUAGGGCCUUCUAGUUCUGCCCUAGGAAGCACCACAAAGAUAAAAGUUUCAAUCAAUCCAAUUGGAGAAAUUACUAGAGAUAACAAAAAUCAAUUCACCUCAUUUCUAGGAAAUGUGAUCAGGACUCAUUAUCCAAUUGCAUACAAAGACUGGCGGCUUGUGCCAGAUACCAUCAAGGAUAAUGUUUGGUCAACUA
Molecule: long non-coding RNA, 324 nt
Organism: Magnolia sinica
Lineage: Eukaryota; Viridiplantae; Streptophyta; Magnoliopsida; Magnoliales; Magnoliaceae
Exons: 3
Source: RefSeq, a predicted model, not a curated record